AAGGGGAUUUAUCUCGACCAUUUGGAUCUUAGGUCGACAUUGAUUUUGUGUAGCUCCUUGUUCGGGUGGUUUUUUAAGCUGUGAUUAAACUUAUCGGUUAAUGAAAGGAUAUAGUGAUGUAUUGAAUUGAUAUUAAGGUUAUUGUGAAUGGUGGGGAUGCGGGUUUUAAUGGGGAAGUUUCCGAUUAACCUAAGGAAUUUGUUUUGGGUAAUUUGGAGCUGGGAAAUGUGCGAAAUGGCCGCGUUAUGCCAGAUUGGGCAACCAUACGUGAUUACUGGGAUUGGCUAGAGCUGAAAAUCGCUAAAUCGUCUGCAAAACCAGCUAAAUUUACAUUUGAAGGGCAGCGAUUGAAAAUUGAAGCUAUAUAAACAUUAAAAAGUGUUGGAGACAGGAUUGAGCCUUGAGGGACUCCGGCUAAAAUGGCUUGAGGUGACGAGAGGGAGGAGUUCACUCUAACCUGUAUAAAUCUACUUUGUAAAAAUGAAAGGAUUAAAGUAGCUAAAGCAGCUUCUAUGUUAUAA
Long non-coding RNA from Fopius arisanus, 521 nucleotides. RefSeq lists it as uncharacterized. The transcript is spliced from 2 exons. NCBI's taxonomy places the organism in Eukaryota, Metazoa, Arthropoda, Insecta, Hymenoptera, Braconidae. The record is from RefSeq and is a predicted model, not a curated record.